RNAcentral lists this ribosomal RNA (799 nucleotides) under uncultured Streptococcus sp. RNAcentral describes it as "bacterial SSU rRNA". It matches the Rfam family "Bacterial small subunit ribosomal RNA", at positions 67 to 850 of the family's 1533-position model. Lineage: Bacteria; Bacillati; Bacillota; Bacilli; Lactobacillales; Streptococcaceae. The record is from RNAcentral.
CUGAAGCUUGGUGCUUGCACCGAGCGGAUGAGUUGCGAACGGGUGAGUAACGCGUAGGUAACCUGCCUGGUAGCGGGGGAUAACUAUUGGAAACGAUAGCUAAUACCGCAUGACAACAGUUAUUGCAUGAUAACUGUUUAAAAGGGGCAAUUGCUCCACUACCAGAUGGACCUGCGUUGUAUUAGCUAGUUGGUGAGGUAACGGCUCACCAAGGCGACGAUACAUAGCCGACCUGAGAGGGUGAUCGGCCACACUGGGACUGAGACACGGCCCAGGCUCCUACGGGAGGCAGCAGUAGGGAAUCUUCGGCAAUGGACGGAAGUCUGACCGAGCAACGCCGCGUGAGUGAAGAAGGUUUUCGGAUCGUAAAGCUCUGUUGUAAGAGAAGAACGAGUGUGAGAGUGGAAAGUUCACACUGUGACGGUAUCUUACCAGAAAGGGACGGCUAACUACGUGCCAGCAGCCGCGGCAAUACGUAGGUCCCGAGCGUUAUCCGGAUUUAUUGGGCGUAAAGCGAGCGCAGGCGGUUAGGUAAGUCUGAAGUUAAAGGCUGUGGCUUAACCAUAGUACGCUUUGGAAACUGUUUAACUUGAGUGCAAGAGGGGAGAGUGGAAUUCCAUGUGUAGCGGUGAAAUGCGUAGAUAUAUGGAGGAACACCGGUGGCGAAAGCGGCUCUCUGGCUUGUAACUGACGCUGAGGCUCGAAAGCGUGGGGAGCAAACAGGAUUAGAUACCCUGGUAGUCCACGCCGUAAACGAUGAGUGCUAGGUGUUAGACCCUUUCCGGGGUUUAGUGCCGUA